Long non-coding RNA from Patella vulgata (common limpet), 1215 nucleotides. RefSeq lists it as uncharacterized. The transcript has 3 exons. The record is from RefSeq and is a predicted model, not a curated record. Lineage: Eukaryota; Metazoa; Mollusca; Gastropoda; Patellidae.
AAAAAAAGAGCUGAAGAAAUGGUGAUUUGAGCACCUAUGAUUUCUCAUAGUUGUUUUUUGAGGAAAGAUCAAGACAGUUGAAAAUGGCUAUUCAUAUUAUGGAAACUUUUUCUCACAGAGCUUGAUAAUCAGGUAAAAUGCUGGAAGAUUAUUUGAUGUAUGAUAACAACAAGAGAUCCCAAGCAUCAAUUUAUUUUAAAAUUCUGGAAAAGAAUGCAUUUGACCCAAUUUUUGAAUAUUUAUUUUUUGUUUUUACUGUUAAAUAUUCUUCCCAAACACAAUUAGAUUUUAAUUCUCUACAGAAAUUUAUGUAUAAUAUAGAAUGUAAAGUGACAUAUUAAUCACUUAGAAUUUGGUCGGAAAUCAUAAAGUAUUUAAUAGGCAUAAUCUAGAAACCAAAUGUAGAUCAAAUAUACCCAGAAUUACAAAAAACCUUGACCUACAUUAAGGUGACUUUCCCUUGCUUAUGAAAUGAAAUAGGGUUUAAGAUCCUACUUUUCUGUGUUAAUAUGGUGAUUCUGCCCUACAACCUACUCUUAUAUCAAAUAUUUCAACUGUCAAGGGUUGUUUAAAGGGAACCCAGGAGGGCCGAAUGGUUAACACACGCACAUUGGAUCAGAAGGUCUGUCAUUGAGUCAGAUAAUUCAAUUGUCAAGGGUUCUUUAAAGUAAACGCAGUGGGGGUAGUUUCAAUUCCGGGCUUAUACCCAAUUAUCCCUUGCCAUGUCCUACACUACUGACGUGUGGGAACUAUGUCGGAAAAUCCAAUUGAAAUUUCUCGGCCAAUGCCUUAUACUCACUGAACCACAGUGACUCCUCCUUGCUUUUGACUUGUGAUUAUUUAUAUAUAUUUUGUACAUAUUAUUUAAUGUUUGCGAUUUUCUCUGAUAUUUUUUUAUUUUUCAAUCCUGUAAUCUUGAUGCUUUGCUCCUUUUAUGUACAAAAUAUUCAUUUUGUUUGUUGUUUUUUUUAAUGAGGAAAAGGUUCUACAUCAUUUUAUUACUCCUGCAAAAUAGUGCAUUUUUCUUUUGUUAGUUUUCUGUGUAUGCUAGUUAUUUCUAGAUGCCUCACAAAUCACUUGUAAUAUGACUUUGUAGCACUUUUCAGUUUCUGAAAGUAUUUCAAUUUAGUGCAUAAUUAAUCUAAUUAGGGCUUGGUUUGGAUGUUAUUAAAUUUAGAUAUAUUUGAAUUAUAUAUUUUUAUAUUUUUGGGGUAU